GGGCGGUUGGCUCAGUUGGUAGAGCGCUUCCGUGACAUGGAAGAGGUCACAGGUUCGAUCCCUGUACCGCCCA
Molecule: transfer RNA, 73 nt
Filed under: Patescibacteria group bacterium
Lineage: Bacteria
Description: tRNA-Val
Rfam family: tRNA
About the family: Transfer RNA (tRNA) molecules are approximately 80 nucleotides in length. Their secondary structure includes four short double-helical elements and three loops (D, anti-codon, and T loops). Further hydrogen bonds mediate the characteristic L-shaped molecular structure. tRNAs have two regions of fundamental functional importance: the anti-codon, which is responsible for specific mRNA codon recognition, and the 3' end, to which the tRNAs corresponding amino acid is attached (by aminoacyl-tRNA synthetases). tRNAs cope with the degeneracy of the genetic code in two manners: having more than one tRNA (with a specific anti-codon) for a particular amino acid; and 'wobble' base-pairing, i.e. permitting non-standard base-pairing at the 3rd anti-codon position.
Source: RNAcentral